UACGGAGGGUGCAAGCGUUAUCCGGAUUCACUGGGUUUAAAGGGUGCGUAGGUGGGUCUGUAAGUCAGUGGUGAAAUCUCCGUGCUUAACAUGGAAACUGCCAUUGAUACUAUAGGUCUUGAAUUUUCUGGAGGUAAGCGGAAUAUGUCAUGUAGCGGUGAAAUGCUUAGAUAUGACAUAGAAUACCUAUUGCGAAGGCAGCUUACUACGCAGAUAUUGACGCUCAUGCACGAAAGCGUGGGGAUCAAACAGG
RNAcentral lists this ribosomal RNA (253 nucleotides) under uncultured bacterium. Its description in RNAcentral is "partial 16S ribosomal RNA". It matches the Rfam family "Bacterial small subunit ribosomal RNA", at positions 524 to 776 of the family's 1533-position model. The record is from RNAcentral.